Molecule: long non-coding RNA, 365 nt
Filed under: Eutrema salsugineum
Lineage: Eukaryota; Viridiplantae; Streptophyta; Magnoliopsida; Brassicales; Brassicaceae
Description: long non-coding RNA (ESAL_LNC002069)
Source: RNAcentral
AGUGCUUCGUGGCCGUGAGAGGCAUUGGAGCCUCGUAGUACUGGUUCGGCUCCUCUGAUUGGUUUCGUGUGGGAAGAGGACACGACCGGAAAAAAUUUUGUGCCUGGAGGGACUAGCUCCUCCUUCAACGGGUCCUGCUUAAUGUGAGUGUUUCCUCUUGCUGUCGAGACCAAACCGAUAAACCGUUAAUACCAAAACAUUAACCGUCUUUCUGAAUCAGAAAUGGAGACAAGGUUAAAGUGAAGCAAAGAGCGGACAAAGACCUGGUGCACCGCCGUGGAGUUUUUGGUCUUUGUAGUCACCUUCAUCGUCUUCUUCGUCUAGAUCGUGAUCGUCGGGGAUGUGUUCUCCGUGCUCAUGACCAU